GAAUGGUAGUGAGGGCACCUUCGCAAAAUGUCCUUGUAUCUCUCCCAUGCAUCAUAGAGUGUUUCUAAAUCCAUCUGCACAAAAAAGGAGAUAUCAUUACGUAAUUU
Molecule: small nucleolar RNA, 107 nt
Filed under: Gossypium arboreum
Lineage: Eukaryota; Viridiplantae; Streptophyta; Magnoliopsida; Malvales; Malvaceae
Description: Plant small nucleolar RNA R71
Rfam family: Plant small nucleolar RNA R71
About the family: R71 is a member of the C/D box family of snoRNAs containing the C (UGAUGA) and D (CUGA) box motifs. Multiple nearly identical copies of this snoRNA have been identified in Arabidopsis, and it is thought to function as a 2'-O-ribose methylation guide for 18S ribosomal RNA.
Source: Rfam by way of RNAcentral